Triticum aestivum (bread wheat) is the source of this 1104-nucleotide long non-coding RNA. RefSeq lists it as uncharacterized. Lineage: Eukaryota; Viridiplantae; Streptophyta; Magnoliopsida; Poales; Poaceae. The transcript has 5 exons. The record is from RefSeq and is a predicted model, not a curated record.
CAGCUAUGUAAAAAAAAACUCAUUGCGUCAUCGAGCGAUGCUCUCCCUCCGCCGACUCUCGCCUCUUCUCUCUCGAUCCCCCUCCACCGCCGCCUCGCCUCUCCAUCUCUCUCUCUCUCUCUCCACGAUCUAUUCUUCUUCAUUAUCUCUCUCUCCCUAGAUGGAAGACAAAUCCAUCCACAAUCUCUUCCUCUCCAUUAUCUCCCUCGCCCUCACAGGAGAACAAAAUCGUUUAGAGCGGAAUCAAUUUUUGCCGUCUCCACGAAUUGGAUCCUGAAUCUUCUCACGUAUAAAUUUUGGAUGCUUUAUUGAGAUCAGGUCGGAGCACAUGAACAAUGCCCAUCAUCGCUGCUCAAGAUUCUCCCACUCUGCAUGAAGUUUGUCUCUGGUCGGUUGCUGUCAUUGGGCAGUCUUUGGUUGAAAACAAUGGUCUGCGAUAUACUCGAUGCGAAGGAUUCCUGGAAAGGAAUCCAAAAAGACUAGGAUGGGAACACAUGUUGCAUUUUAUUCUGAUGAAGAAUUGGUAAUAAGGGCAUUCAGGAUAGAGAUGUGGCAGCAUUGAUAUAAUACCGGAAAACAAUGCUGAUGUUGAGCAUUCAGAAAUCAGAGGAACCAAGAUUAUUCGAAGAUCAACAUAAGUACGAGCACAAGCAAAUUCAGGAAUUGAAUAGGAUAAUAGAAAACUUCAAAGCAAGCGCUGAUUGCUGAUGAAGUCAUUGUAAACCAGCAUAAAAAAUUUGGGACAGGGAGCACAAGUCGUGUUAUGCAUCUUGAUGAAGAAUCAAAAACUAAGGGAUGAAAGGAAACGAAUGAAUCAAAAUUCAUGGAAUAAAGAACAGUGAUGAAGAAGACCGCAAAUCAAAGACUGGAAGGUUCUCAAAGUCAUAAAGAUUCCAAACUGAGGACAUUGUGUAAUGGGGUUGAUAAACAAUCGGCGACCUGAGACAUUCCAAAACAUGGUGCAUCAAGGACUAAAAAACAAGUAGCGCAUUGAUAAAUAUUUAGUGACAUUUAGGAUUUUUCAAAAAUGUACAUGCACAUCAGAUUUGUACUAAAUGUACAUGCACAUCAGUUUUUUAUUACAAAAAUGCCAAUUAAUCUGUA